RNAcentral lists this ribosomal RNA (492 nucleotides) under uncultured bacterium. RNAcentral describes it as "partial 16S ribosomal RNA". It matches the Rfam family "Bacterial small subunit ribosomal RNA", at positions 29 to 507 of the family's 1533-position model. The record is from RNAcentral.
AGUGAACGCUGGCGGUAGGCCUAACACAUGCAAGUCGAACGGCAGCACAGUAAGAGCUUGCUCUUACGGAUGGCGAGGGGCGGAGGGGUGAGAAAUAUAUCGAAACCGCCUUUUUGGUGGGGGAUAACGUAGGGAAACUUACCCUAAACCCGAAUACAACCUACGGGGGAAGGCAGGGAAUUUUCGGAUUUUUCGGGUAAGAAUAAGCGGGCGUCGGAUUAGCUAGUUGGCGGGGUAAAGGCCCACCAAGGCGACGAUCCGUAGCUGGUCUGAGAGGAUGAUCAGCCACACUGGAACUGAGACACGGUCCAGACUCCUACGGGAGGCAGCAGUAGGGAAUAUUGGACAAUGGGCGCAAGCCUGAUCCAGCCAUGCCGCGUGAGUGAAGAAGGCCUUCGGGUUGUAAAGCCCUUUUGUUAGGGAAGAAAAGCAGCGGGGUAAUACCCCGCUGUUCUGACGGUACCCAACGAAUAAGCAACGGCUAACUUCGUG